GACUGUUCUCUCUACUACUGCAUGGCAAGCGAUACCGGAGUGCCAAGUCUAGGACAAAAAGGCUUCUCAAUAGUUUUUACCCCCAAGCCAUAAGACUCCUGAUCAGGUAAUCAAAUGGCUACCCACACUAUUUGCAUUGUGUGCCCCCAACCCCUCUUUUACGCUGCUGCUACUCUCUGUUUAUCAUAUAUGCAUUGUCACUUUAACUAUACAUUCAUGUACAUACUACCUCAAUUAGCCCGACUAACCGGUGCCCCCACACAUUGGCUACCUGGACAAUCUGCAUUGUGUCCCGCUACCCACCACCCGCCAACCCCUCUUUUACCCUACUUCUACUCUCUGUUUAUCAUAUAUGCAUAGUCACUUUAACCAUACCUACAUGUACAUACUACCUCAAUCAGCCUGACUAACCGGUGCCUGUAUAUAGCCUCGCUACUGUUAUAGCCUCGCUACUGUUAUUUUUCACUGUCUUUUUACUGUUGUUUUUAUUUCUUUACUUAUCUAUUGUUCACCUAAUACCUUUUUUUAACUUAAAAAUUGCACUGUUGGUUAGAGCCUGUAAGUAAGCAUUUCACUGUAAGGUCUACACCUGCUAUAUUCAGCGCACGUGACAAAUAAACUUUGAUUUGAUUUGAUUUAGUAGUUCUAGUGUAGAGAGAGGAGAAAGGCUGGGUAGUUUGUGUGUAGAGAGAGGAGAAAGGCUGGGUAGGUUGUGUGUAGAGAGAGGAGAAAGGCUGGGUAGUUAUAUUGUAGAGCGAGGAGGCAGGCUGGGUAGUUCUAUUGUAGAGAGAGGAGAAAGGCUGGGUAGUUAUAUUGUAGAGCGAGGAGGCAGGCUGGGUAGUUCUAUUGUAGAGAGAGGAGAAAGGCUGGGUAAUUCUAGUAUAGAGAGAGGAGGUUGGGUAGUUCUAGUGUAGAGAGACAAGGCAGGCUGGGUAGUUAUAUUGCAGAGAGAGGAGAACGGCUGUGUAGUUCUAGUGUAGAGAGAGGAUAAAGGCUGGGUAAUUCUAGUGUAGAGAGAGGAGGCAGGCUGGGUAGUUCUAUUGCAGAGAGAGGAGAACGGCUGGGUAGUUCUAGUAUAGAGAGAUGAGGCGAAAGGCUGGUUAGUUCUAGAGUAUAGAAAGCAGGCAGGCUGGGUAGUUAUGGUGUAGAGAGCGGAGAAAGGCUGGGUAGUUAUAGUGCAGAGAGAGGAGGCAUGCUGGGUUGUUCUAUUGCAGAGAGAGGAGAAAGUCUGGGUAGUUCUAGUGUAGAGAGAGGAGGCUGGGUGUUUAUAGAUUAGAGAGUCGAGUCUGGGUAGUUCUAGUAUAGAGAGAGGAGUCUGUGUAGUUAUAGUGUAGAGAGAGGAGAUGGGGAAUUAUAGUGUAGAGAAGGCUGGGUAUUUGUGGUGUACAGUGAGGAGGCUGGGCAGUUAUAGUGUAAAGGAGGCUGGGUAGUUAUAGUGUAGAGAGAGGAGGCUGGGUAAUUAUAGUGUAAAAGAGGCCGGGUAGUUGUGGUGUAGAGAGAGGAGGGUGUGUAGUUAUAGUGUAGAGAGAGGAGGCUGGGUAGUUAUAGUGUAAAGGAGGCUGGGUAGUUGUAGUGUAGAGAGAGGAGGCUGGGUAGUUAUAGUGUAGAAGAGGCUGCAUAGUUAUAGUGUAGAGAGAGGAGGCUGGAUAGCUAUAGUGUAGAUGAGGCUGGGUAGUUAUAUUGUAGAGAGAGGAGACUGGGUAGUAAUUGUGUGGAGUGAGGAGGCUGGGUAGUUCUAUUGUAGAGAUAGGAGAAAGACUGGGUAGUUUUAGUGUAGAGAGAGGAGGUUGUGGAGUUCUAGCGUAGAGAGAGAAGGCUGUGUAGUUCUAUUGUAGAGAUAGGAGAAAGGCUGGGUAGUUUUAGUGUAGAGAGAGGAGGCUGGGUAGAUCUAGUGUAGAGAGAGGAGGCUGGGUAGUUCUAGUGUAGAGAGAGGAGGCUGUGGAGUUCUAUUGUAGAGGGAGGAGGCUGAGUUGUUCUAGUGUAGAGAGAGGAGGCUGGGUAGUUGUAGUGAAGAGAGAGGAGACUGGGUAGUUGUAGUGAAGAGAGAGGAGGCUGGGUAGUUGUAUUAUAGCGAGGAGAAGCUGGGUAGUAUAAGUAUAGAGAGAGGAUACUGGGUAGUUACAAUAUAGGGAGAGGAGGCUGGGUAAUUGUAGUGUAGAAAGAUUAGGCAGGUAGUUCUAUUGUAUAGAGAGCAGGGUUGCUGGGAAGAUCCAGUGUAGAGAGAGGAGAAAGCCUGGGUAGUUCAGUGUAGAGAGAGGAGGCAUGCUGGGUAGUUCUGUUGCAGAGAGACGAGAAAGGCUGGGACGUUCUAGUGUAGAGAGAGGAGGCUGGGUAAUUCUAGUGUAGAGAGAUGAGGCUGGGUAGUUAUAGUAUAGAGAGGGGAGGCUGGGUAGUUCUAGUACAGAGAGAGGGGAAAGGCUGGGUAGUUCUAGUGCAGAGAGAGGAGAAAGGCUGUGUAGUUCUAGUGUAGAGAGAGGAGGCUGGGUAGCUCUAGUGUAGAGAGAUGAAAAUAGCUGGGUUGUUCUAUUGUAGAGAGUGAAGAAAGGCUGGGUAGUUCUAGUGUAGAGAGAAGAGGCUGGGUAGUUUUAGUGUAGAGAGAGGAGGCUGGGUAGUCCUAGUGUAGAGAGAUUUAAAAGGCUGGGUUUGCAUAGUGUAGAGAGAGGAGGCUGUGUAGUUCUCGUGUACAGAAAGGAGGCAGGCUGGGUAUUUCUGGUGUAGAGAGAGGAGAAAGCCUGGGUAGUUCUAGUGUAGAGAGAGGAGAAAGGCUGGGUAGUUCUAGCAUAGAGAGAGGAGGAUGGAUAAUUCUAGUAUAGAAAGAGGAGAAAGGCUGGGUAGUUCUAGCAUAGAGAGAGGAGGAUGGGUAAUUCUAGUAUAGAAAGAGGAGAAGGCUGGGUAAUUCUAGUGUGGAGAGAGGAGGCUGGGUAGUUAUAGUGUAGCGAGAGGAGGCAGGCUGGGUAGUUCUAUUGUAGAGAGAGGAGAAUAGCUGGGUAGUUCUAGUGUAGAGAGAGUUGAAAGGCUGGGUUGGUAUAGUGUAGAGAGAGGAGGCUAGGUAGUUGUAGUAUAAAGGAGGCUGGGAAGUUCUAGUGUAGAGAGAGGAGGCUGGGUAGAUCUAGUGUAGAGAUAGGAGGCUGGGUAGUUCUAGAGUGGGGAGAGGAGGCUGGGUAGUUCUAGUGUAGAGAAAGUAGAAAGGCUGGAUAGUUCUAGUAUAGAGAGAGGAGAAAGCCUGGGUAGUUCCAGUGUAGAGAGAGGAGAAAGACUGGGUAGGUCUAGUGUAGAGAGAGGAGGAUGGGUAAUUCUAGAAUAGAAAGAGGAGAAGGCUGGGUAGUUAUAGUGUAGCGAGAGGAGGAUGGGUAAUUCUAGUUUAGAGAGAGGAGGCUGGGUAGUUCUAGUGUAGAGAGAGGAGGCUGGGUAGUUCUAGAGUGGGGAGAGGAGGCUGGGUAGUUCGAGUGUAGAGAGAGGAGAAAGGCUGGGUAGUUCUAGUGUAGAAAGAGGAGGCUGGGUAGUUCUAGUGUAGAAAGAGGAGGCUGGGUAGUUAUAGUGUAGAGAGAGGAGGAAGGCUGUGUUGUUCUAGUGUAGAGAGAGUUGAAAGGCUGGGUAGGUAUAGUGUAGAGAGAGGAGGCUAGGUAGUUGUAGUUUAGAGAGAGGAGGCUGUGUAGUUGUAGUGUAGAGGAGGCUGGGAAGUUCUAGUGUAGAGAGAGAAGGCUGGGUUGAUCUAGUGUAAAGAGAGGAGGCUGGAUAGUUCUAGAGUGAGGAGAGGAGUCUGGGUAGUUCUAGUGUAGAGAGAGGAGGCUGGGUAGUUGUAGUGUAGAGAGAGGAGGCUGGAUAGUUCUAGUGUAGAAAGAGGAGGCUGGGUAGUUCAAGUGUAGAGAUAGGAGGCUGGGUAGUUCUAGAGUGGGGAGAGGAGGCUGGGUAGUUCUAGUGUAGAGGGAGGAGAAAGGCUGGGUAGUUCUAGUGUAGAAAGAGGAGGCUGGGUAGUUCUAGUGUAGAGAGAGGAGAAAGGCUGGGUAGUUCUAGUGUAGCGAGAGGAGGCUGGGUAAUUCUAGUUUAGAAAGAGGAGAAGGCUGGGUAGUUAUAAUAUAGCGAGAGGAGGAAGGCUGGGUAGUUGUAUUGUAGAGAGAGGAGAAAGGCUGGGUUGUUCUAGUGUGGAGAGAGUUGAAAGGCUGGGUAGGUAUAGUGUAGAGAGAGGAGGCUAGGUAGUUCUAGAGUGGGGAGAGAAGGCUGGGUAGUUCUAGUGUAGAAAGAGGAGGCUGGGUAGUUCUAGUGUAGAAAGAGCAGGCUGGGUAGUUCUAGUGUAGAGGGAGGAGAAUGUCUGGGUAGUUCUAGUGUAGAGAGAGGAGAAAGGCUGGGUAGUUCUAGUGUAGAAAGAGGAGGCUGGGUAGUUCUAGUGUAGAAAGAGGAGGCUGGGUAGUUCUAGUGUAGAAAGGGGAGGCUGGGUAGUUCUAGUGUAGAGGGAGGAGAAUGUCUGGCUAGUUCUAGUGUAGAAAGAGGAGGCUGGGUAGUUCUAGUGUAGAGAGAGGAGGAUGGGUAGUUCUAAUAUAGCAUGAGGAGGAAGGCUGGGUAGUUCUAUUGUAGAGAGAGGAGAAAGGCUGGGUUGUUCUAGUGUGGAGAGAGUUGAAAGAGUGGGUAGGUAUAAUGUAGAGAGAGGAGGCUAGGUAGUUGUAAUUUAGAGAGAGGAGGCUGUGUAGUUGUAGUGUAGUGGAGGCUGGGAAGUUCUAGUGUAGAGAGAGGAGGCUGGGUAGAUCUAGUGUAGAGAGAGGAGGCUGGGUAGUUCUAGAGUGGGGAGAGGAGGCUGGGUAGUUCUAGUGUAGAGAGAGGAGAAAGGCUGGAUAGUUCUAGUAUAGAGAGAGGAGAAAGCCUGUGUUGUUCUAGUGUAGAGAGAGGAGGAUGGGUAAUUCUAGAAUAGAAAGAGGAGAAGGCUGGGUCGUUUUUGUGUAGCGAGAGGAGGCAGGCUGGGUAGUUCUAGUGUAGAGAGAGGAGGCUGGGUAGUUCUAGUGUAGAGAGAGGAGGCUGGGUAGUUCUAGAGUGGGGAGAGGAGGCUGGGUAGUUCUAGUGUAGAGAGAGGAGAAAGGCUGGGUUGUUCUAGUGUAGAAAGAGGAGGCUGGGUAGUUCUAGUGUAGAGAGAGGAGAGAGGCUGGGUAGUUCUAGUGUAGAGAGAGGAGGAUUGGUAAUUGUAGUUUAGAAAGAGGAGAAGGCUGGGUAGUUAUAAUGUAGCAAGAGGAGGAAGGCUGGGUAGUUCUAUUGUAGAGAGAGGGGUCUGGGUAGUUGUAGUUUAGAGAGAGGAGGAUGUGUAGUUGUAGUGUAGAGGAGGCUGGGAAGUUCUAGUGUAGAGAGAGGAGGCUGGGUAGGUUAGUGUAGAGAUCGAAGGCUGGGUUGAUCUAGUGUAGAGCGAGGAGGCUGUAUAGUUCUAGAGUGGGGAGAGGUGGCUGGGUAGUUCUAGUGUAGAGAGAGGAGAAAGGCUGGAUAGUUCUGGUAUAGAGAGAUGAGGACUAAGACUGGGUAAUUAUAGUGUAGAGGAGGCUGAGUUGUUAUAGUGUAUAGGAUGCUGGGUAUUUUAGGUGUACAGUGAGGAGGCUGGGUAGUUAUAGUGUAAAGGAGGCUGGGUAGUUGUAGUGUAGAGAGAGAAGGCUGGGUAGUUGUAGUGUAGAGGAGGCUGGGUAUUUGAGGUGUACAGUGAGGAGGCUGGGAAGUUAUAGUGUAAAGGAGGCUGGGAAGUUAUAGUGUAAAGGAAGGGGGUAGUUGUAUUGUAGAGAGAGGAGGCUGGGUAGUUGUAGUGUAGAGGAGGCUGGGUAGUUCUAGUGCAGAGAUUGGAGGCCGGGUAGUUACUGUAUAGAGAGAGGAGGCUGGGUAGUCUUAUUAUAGUGAGGAGCAGCUGGGUAGUUUAAGCAUAAAGAGAGGAGGCAGGGUAGUUGCAAAAUAAGGUGAGGAGGCUUGGUAGUUCUAGUGUAGAGAGAUGAGUAAGGCUGGGUAGUUCUAUUGUAUAGAGACCAGGGAGGCUGGGAAGUUCUAGUGAAGAGAGAGGAGGCUGGGUAGUUCUAUUGUAGAAAGAGAAGGCUGGGUUGUUCUAGUGUAGAGAGAGGAGGCUGGGUAGGUUAGUGUAGAGAGAAGAGGCUGGGUAGUUCUAGUGUAGAGAGAGGAGGCUGGGUAGUUCUAGUGUAGAGAGAUGAGGCUGGGUAGUUAUAGUGUAGAGAGAGGAGGACAGGUAAUUUUAAUAUAGAGAGAGAAGGCUGGGUAGUUUUAUUGUAGAAAGAGAACGCUGGGUAGUUAUAGUGUAGAGAGAGGAGGAAGGGUAAUUUUAAUAUAUAGAGAGAAGGCUGGGUAGUUCUAUUGUAGAAAGAGAAGGCUGGGUAGUUCUAUUGUAGAAAGAGAAGGCUGGGUUGUUCUAAUGUAGAGAGAGGAGGCUGGGUAGUUCUAGUGUAGAGAGGAGGCUGGUAGUUCUACUGUAGAAGGAGAAGGCUGGGUAGUUUUAGUAUAGAGAGAUGAGGAUGGGUAGUUCUAAUGUAGAGAGAGGAGAAAGACUGGGUAAUUCUAGUGUGGAGAGAGGAGAAAGGCUGGGUAGUUCUAGUAUAGAGAGAGGAGGCUGGGUAGUUCUAAUUUAGAGAGAGGAGAAAGGCUGGGUAGUUCUAUUGUAGAGAGAGGAGGCAGGCUGGGUAGUUCUAGUAUAGAGAGAGGAGGCUGGGUAGUUCUAGUAUAGAGAGAUGAGUAGUAAGACUGGGUAGUUCUAGUAUAGAGAGAGGAGGAGGCUGGGAAGUUCUAGUAUAGAGAGAGGAGAAAGGCUGGGUAGUUCUAGUGUAGAGAGAGGAGGCUGGGUAGUUCUAGUGUAGAGAGAAGAGAAAGGCUGGGUAGUUCUAGUGUAGAGAGAGGAGGCAGGCUUGGUAGUUCUAGUAUAGAGAGAUGAGUAGUAAGACUGGGUAGUUCUAGAAUAGAGAGAGGAGGAGGCUGGGAAGUGCUAGUAUAGAGAGAGGAGAAAGGCUGGGUAGUUCUAGUGUAGAAAGAGGAGGCUGGGUAGUUCUAGUGUAGAGAGAGGAGUAGUAAGACUGGGUAGUUCUAGUGUAGAGAGAGGAGGCUGGCUAGUUCUAGUGUAGAGAGAGGAGUAGUAAGACUGGGUAGUUCUAGUGUAGAGAGAGGAGGCUGGCUAGUUCUAGUGUAGAGAGAUGAGUAGUAAGGCUGGGUAGUUCUAGUGUAGAGAGAGGAGUAGUAAGACUGGGUAGUUCUAGUGUAGAGAGAGGAGGCUGGCUAGUUCUAGUGUAGAGAGAUGAGUAGUAAGGCUGGGUAGUUCUAGUGUACAGAGAGGAGGUAGGGUAGUUCUAGUAUAAAGAGAUGAGGAGAAAGGCUGGGUAGUUCUAGUGUAGAGAGAGGAGGCUGGGUAGUUGUAGUAUAGAGAGAGGAGAAAGGCUGGGUCGUUCUAGUGUAGAGAGAGGAGGUUGGCUGCAUAGUUCUAUUGUAGACAGAGGAGGCAGGCUGGGUUGUUCUAGAACAGAGAGAGGAGAAAGGCUGGGAAGUUCUAGUGUAGAGAGAAGAGGAGAAAGGCUGGGUAGUUCUAGCGUAGAGAGAGGAGGCUGGGUAGUUCUAGUAUAGAGAGAUGAGUAGUAAGACUGGGUAGUUCUAGUGUAGAGAGAGGAGAAAGGCUGGGUAGUUCUAGUGUAGAGAGAGGAGGUAGGCUGCAUAGUUCUAUUGUAGAGAGGAGAAAGGAUGGUAUAUGUUGUGGAGGCUGGGUAGUUGUAGUGUAGAGAGAGGAGGCUGUGGAGUUCUAGUGUAGAGAGAGGAGGCUGGGUAAUUCUAUUGUAAAGAGAUGAGUCUGGGUAGUUGUAGUAUAGAGAGAGGAGGAUGGAUAGUUCUAUUGUAAAGAGAAGGCUGGGUAGUUGUAGUAUAUAGAGAGGAGGCUGUGUAGUUCUAUUGUAAAGAGAAGCCUGGGAAGUUGUAGUAUAGAUAGAGGAGGAUGGGUAGUUCUAGUGUAGAGAGAGGAGGCUAGGUAGUUAUAUUGUAGAGGAGGCUGGGUAUUUGUGGUGUAGAGUGAGGAGGCUGGGUAUUGAUAGUGUAGAGGAGACUGUGUAGUUCUAGUGUAGGUAGAUGUCACGUCCUGACCAUAGUAAGCUGUUAUUUUCUAUGGUAGAGUAGGUCAGGGCGUGACAGGGGGGUUUUCUAGUUUAGUUUUUCUAUGUUGUUAUGUUCUAGUUUUGUAUUUCUAUGUUGGGUUGUUCUAGUUUUGUAUGUCUAUGUUGGACUGUGUUUGGGAUGAUCUCCAAUUAGAGGCAGCUGGUCAUCGUUGUCUCUAAUUGGAGGUCAUAUUUAAGUUGAUGUUUGUCCCACAUGGAUUUGUGGGAGAAUAAUUUUGAGUAGUGUAUGUUUCACCUCUUCGUCACGGUUUGUUGUUUUUGUCAUUACGUUUAUUUAUGUAUUGCAUAGUUUCACAGUAUAAAUACAAUUUGGAACGACACACACGCUGCACUUUGGUCCGCUCCUCUCUACGACAAAAUCUCCCACCACAAAAGGACCAAGCUGCGUGCCCAGGAGGAGCAGGGAUCCUGGGCCAGGGAAAGGAGAGAGUGGAGGACAUCCUGGACAUGGGAGGAGGUAAUGGCAGGGGACAAGACCCUGCCAUGGAAGCAGGUGGAGACAGCGAGGGAGGAAUGGCAACGUUACGAGGAACAGUCACGGCAACGACGGAAGCACGAGAG
RNAcentral lists this long non-coding RNA (8675 nucleotides) under Salmo salar (Atlantic salmon). Its description in RNAcentral is "lncRNA (ENSSSAG00000084534.1)". Lineage: Eukaryota; Metazoa; Chordata; Actinopteri; Salmoniformes; Salmonidae. The record is from RNAcentral.